RNAcentral lists this ribosomal RNA (484 nucleotides) under uncultured bacterium. RNAcentral describes it as "partial 16S ribosomal RNA". It matches the Rfam family "Bacterial small subunit ribosomal RNA", at positions 30 to 507 of the family's 1533-position model. The record is from RNAcentral.
AUUGAACGCUGGCGGCAGGCCUAACACAUGCAAGUCGAGCGGAUGAAGGGAGCUUGCUCCUGGAUUCAGCGGCGGACGGGUGAGUAAUGCCUAGGAAUCUGCCUGGUAGUGGGGGAUAACGUCCGGAAACGGGCGCUAAUACCGCAUACGUCCUGAGGGAGAAAGUGGGGGAUCUUCGGACCUCACGCUAUCAGAUGAGCCUAGGUCGGAUUAGCUAGUUGGUGGGGUAAAGGCCUACCAAGGCGACGAUCCGUAACUGGUCUGAGAGGAUGAUCAGUCACACUGGAACUGAGACACGGUCCAGACUCCUAAGGGAGGAAGCAGUGGGGAAUAUUGGACAAUGGGCGAAAGCCUGAUCCAGCCAUGCCGCGUGUGUGAAGAAGGUCUUCGGAUUGUAAAGCACUUUAAGUUGGGAGGAAGGGCAGUAAGUUAAUACCUUGCUGUUUUGACGGUACCAACAGAAUAAGCACCGGCUAACUUCGUG